UUCAAGUGUAGUUGUAGGUUUUCGUAUCUAAUGUUUAACCGUAUGUUUUAUUUAAUUUUUUUUAUGAUUACUAUUUUUAUUGUUAUUAGAUAGUGCGUGAUUCAAUUUUUUUAUAAACUUUUAAAUAAGACGGAUGGUCAAACGUUAUACACAAAAACACAAAAACUCACA
Molecule: microRNA precursor, 171 nt
Filed under: Oryza meridionalis
Lineage: Eukaryota; Viridiplantae; Streptophyta; Magnoliopsida; Poales; Poaceae
Description: MIR812 microRNA precursor family
Rfam family: MIR812 microRNA precursor family
Source: Rfam by way of RNAcentral